This 433-nucleotide ribosomal RNA is filed under the name uncultured bacterium. RNAcentral describes it as "partial 16S ribosomal RNA". It matches the Rfam family "Bacterial small subunit ribosomal RNA", at positions 29 to 507 of the family's 1533-position model. The record is from RNAcentral.
AGCGAACGCUGGCGGCAGGCCUAACACAUGCAAGUCGAACGAACUCUUCGGAGUUAGUGGCGGACGGGUGAGUAACACGUGGGAACGUGCCUUUUGGUUCGGAAUAACUCAGGGAAACUCGUGCUAAUACCGAAUGUGCCCUUCGGGGGAAAGAUUUAUCGCCAUUAGAGCGGCCCGCGUCUGAUUAGCUAGUUGGUGAGGUAACGGCUCACCAAGGCGACGAUCAGUAGCUGGUCUGAGAGGAUGACCAGCCACACUGGGACUGAGACACGGCCCAGACUCCUACGGGAGGCAGCAGUGGGGAAUCUUGCGCAAUGGGCGAAAGCCUGACGCAGCCAUGCCGCGUGAAUGAUGAAGGUCUUAGGAUUGUAAAAUUCUUUCACCGGGGACGAUAAUGACGGUACCCGGAGAAGAAGCCCCGGCUAACUUCGUG